RNAcentral lists this unclassified non-coding RNA (334 nucleotides) under soil metagenome. RNAcentral's name for it is "partial contains 5.8S ribosomal RNA, internal transcribed spacer 2, and large subunit ribosomal RNA". The stretch from base 1 to 120 matches the Rfam family "5.8S ribosomal RNA", at positions 35 to 154 of the family's 154-position model. The record is from RNAcentral.
GAUGAAGAACGCAGCGAAAUGCGAUACGUAAUGUGAAUUGCAGAAUUCAGUGAAUCAUCGAAUCUUUGAACGCACAUUGCGCCCGCCAGCACUCUGGCGGGCAUGCCUGUUCGAGCGUCAUUUCAACCAUCAAGCCCCAGGCUUGCGUUGGAGCCCUGCGGCUGCCGCAACCUCCUAAAAGCAGUGGCGGGCUCGCUAUCACACCGAGUGCAGUAGAUUACUCUUCGCUCAGGGCGUGCAGCGGGUUCCGGCCGUGAAACCCCCUACUUUUAAAGGUUGACCUCGGAUCAGGUAGGAAUACCCGCUGAACUUAAGCAUAUCAAUAAGCGGAGGA